Molecule: transfer RNA, 88 nt
Filed under: Aminobacter sp. MSH1
Lineage: Bacteria; Pseudomonadati; Pseudomonadota; Alphaproteobacteria; Hyphomicrobiales; Phyllobacteriaceae
Description: tRNA-Sec
Source: RNAcentral
CCUCGACAUGGUCGACUAGCGCGUCCGGCAGCUUCAGCCGGCCGGCGAGAAGGUCGAGAUAGCCGCGCUCGGCGCGCGUGUCGGGAUC